Mya arenaria is the source of this 2075-nucleotide RNA transcript. RefSeq lists it as uncharacterized. The transcript is spliced from 2 exons. Lineage: Eukaryota; Metazoa; Mollusca; Bivalvia; Myida; Myidae. The record is from RefSeq and is a predicted model, not a curated record.
ACGCGAGAUCCUUGUAUAAUUUCAUAUUGAUCGUAUGAGUGUUUUGUUAGCUCAAAACAUGGUGGACAAAGGAUUAAAAUUAACAGAAAAGGUCCAAUGGCUUCUAAACCAGAUGUUAAAAAGAGUACAGAGGCAGCUGAUGCAGUUGAGGGAAGAACAAUACCACAAUGUAAACCUUGCUCCACGAAUAACAAGACUACAGCUGCUCAAGUGUAUUGCCAUGAUUGCAAAGAGUUCCAGUGCUCAGAAUGUUCUGACCAUCACAACGCGUUUGCCUUCAUGUCUGGCCACAAUAUUGUCGACUGGAAGCUUAAGGAUCCCGAGGAAAAGGUUGUCAACAUGUUUGGGUUUGAUAAAUGCACUGAACAUGGGAAUCCUGUGACAAUCUAUUGUGAAGACCAUGACGUGUUUUGUUGUUCGACUUGUGGUUUCUCACGACACAAGCUUUGUGAGAAAGCAAAAGGUAUUCAUGAGUUUUCAGUUGAUGUAAAUGUAGUUCGGGACACACUUGCAGCUUGUAAUAAAAAGGCUAUAAAUUGUAUGCAUGCUCUAAAUGAAAUUGGAUUGAAAGAAGAACGGGAAAUAAUAAAAAAGGCUGAUUUACUUAAAUCAGAGAUUAAUAAAAAAAGUAGACAGGGAUACGACAUUGGCCAUGAAAGAUAUUCAAACAUUGGCAGGUGCUUUGAAAUCGUCGAAAGAAGAAAACAUUUCAGAAUUAUCGCACAUCCAGGUUGAUCUUGUUCUAUGGGAAAACAGUUUAAAUGCUGCAUUCGAAAAAAACUUGCAUGAUCAAAGCUUUAUUCUUUGCAAAUAUCUUAAACUGAGGACCAUUGAAAUCAGUGGAUUUCUGAACAAGCAAUCGUAUGACACAAUUCCUAUUCCAGUACAUGCUGAAUGUCACCAAGUCAUAGAAACCCUCGUAAAUGGUGAGGAAAAACUGAUUACAUUGUGCAGAGAUGAUGCUUCCAUCCAUGAAUCUGGCUCUGAAGCUUUAGAAAGCAACAUAAAAGCCGCAGAAAAAAUUGGGAAUAAUUCAACAGACAGUGUUAAAGACACAAACAACUACCAAAGGAUACAAGACUCUACAUUUAACUAGAUCGGUUAGGCAAGAUGUUACAAAUCAGAAAAGUUACAUUACAGGAAUAGACUUCUUUCCAGAUGGCAGACUGAUUGCUGUUGAUAACUAUAAAAAGAAGGUUUUUUUGAUAAAUGGCAAUAUGCAAAUACUUGGAAAAAAAUUCCAUUUUUAUAUCUUUCCAUAUGACGUUUGUGUGUAUAAAGAAAACAGAGCUGUAGUUACAACAGGCACGAUAUUAUAUUUUCUACAGGUAGACCAAAACAACUGUAUAACACUGUGUGCGAAAGUUUCAACAUCUACACCCUUUUACUCAAUUACCACAUUCAACUGCUCAAUGUUUCUUUGUAGCUCAUACGAUAAUGACAAAUGUCCAGUGUGUGUUGUUGAUUUUGAAGGAAAUGAGACAAGCUUUACAGAUACAGGCUUUCCUGAUACGAAAUAUAAAUUUGAGGAAAGUUUUUCCACCUACAUCAUUCGUUUGGGAAUAAUUGUACUGACAGACAAAAAUAACAGCAAAGUGUAUAUGUUUAACAUCUUGUCUGGAAAAAAUAAAACUGUGAAAGACGAGCGUAAACAAGAGCCUGCAAGGGCAUGUGUGGCCCCUGAUGACACGGUGUUUGUGAGCUGUGAAGGAAAUGAUACCAUUGUCCGCAUUUAUCCAGAGGGACAAGUCUUGCAGGCUCUAGAGCUUAGUUUUGCCCCUAGGGAAGUGAAUUGUUUUAUGGAUACACAUCUUGUUGUAUCGGCAUGGGACAAAGAGUUCAAACUUCAUCUGUUCAAACUAGCUUAUCAAGAAAGGAAGUGAACACGCGCAUUCUGCUAACGUCUAUUAUUAUCAUCGUGGAAAUGACAGUAGUAGAGAGUGAACGACAAAGAUGUCUAAGCUUUUUUGUUUUAUAUUGUCAUUAUACUUAUAAUUUAAAGUUAUAAUUUACUAGUGCAAAAUUAUAUCUAAUACAUGUACUUAUUAUCAUUUUAAAUUAAAAGUUAAUGUUGA